AUACGUAGGGUGCGAGCGUUGUCCGGAAUUACUGGGCGUAAAGAGCUCGUAGGUGGUUUGUCGCGUCGUCUGUGAAAUUCCGGGGCUUAACUCCGGGCGUGCAGGCGAUACGGGCAUAACUUGAGUACUGUAGGGGAGACUGGAAUUCCUGGUGUAGCGGUGAAAUGCGCAGAUAUCAGGAGGAACACCGGUGGCGAAGGCGGGUCUCUGGGCAGUAACUGACGCUGAGGAGCGAAAGCAUGGGUAGCGAACAGGAUUAGAUACCCUGGUAGUCCAUGCCGUAAACGGUGGGCGCUAGGUGUAGGGGUCUUCCACGACUUCUGUGCCGUAGCUAACGCAUUAAGCGCCCCGCCUGGGGAGUACGGCCGCAAGGCUAAAACUCAAAGGAAUUGGCGGGG
This 398-nucleotide ribosomal RNA is filed under the name uncultured bacterium. RNAcentral's name for it is "partial 16S ribosomal RNA". It matches the Rfam family "Bacterial small subunit ribosomal RNA", at positions 523 to 918 of the family's 1533-position model. The record is from RNAcentral.